RNAcentral lists this long non-coding RNA (359 nucleotides) under Medicago truncatula (barrel medic). RNAcentral describes it as "lncRNA gene19883". The record is from RNAcentral. Lineage: Eukaryota; Viridiplantae; Streptophyta; Magnoliopsida; Fabales; Fabaceae.
GCUGAACUUUAAGCUAUUUGGAAAGACCUUCCGUUGGCUUGGAAUCAUGUAACGACAACAUUUGAAGUAUUUUUCUUAAACGUCAUGAACAAAUGAGUGAUUUUUGUAAAGAGGUAAGACGGGUGUAUAUAUAACUCUUGAGUCAGUAAAAUAUUUAUUUUAUUAUUCGAUUUAAAUACGUGAAAAUGAUUUGUUAAUUUGAGACAGAAUCAUAACAAUGAUAUUUUGUUAAUUAUCAAUUAUUAUAGUGCAGGUAACCAUGUAGAUACAAGUAACAAUGAUUUCGAAACUAUGAGAAUGCUAAUUGGGUUGAUAUGGUUGAACUUGAACAUGAAGAGGAUUCCAACUCUAGAACUGAA